AGUCAUCAACCCCUACCGUUUAGUGCGGUUGUGGGUUGGAUCUGGGGGUCUGCUGCCGAGAGGCGGCUCCCCUCAAAUGGAUCGGUUGGGCCUGUGGGUCGGACUCGAUUGGGCGUUGUAUUAUCCUCGCUCUAACGAGAUGUUCCCCUCUCUGUGCCCCUCCACGACCUGCCUAUUGAGUGGCGGUCAAACCAACUUUGAAA
Molecule: unclassified non-coding RNA, 203 nt
Filed under: uncultured Trechispora
Lineage: Eukaryota; Fungi; Basidiomycota; Agaricomycetes; Polyporales; Polyporaceae
Description: sequence contains ITS2
Source: RNAcentral